GAGAAUACGUAGAUGAGACGAGUAGGAUGUGGAAGAUUACAGAGAGAGAAGUCUUGUGCUGGAAACUUCUUAUUACAGAAGCAUCUGAAAACUACCUCGGAGUGGCUGAAAACAGCCCGGUGAUUCCGUUAUCAUCAAGAAAGUGGUUCUGGCAAAAGCCAGUUCAAUCAGGGUGGAACCGCGAGUAAAUACUCGUCCCUUGC
Molecule: non-coding RNA, 203 nt
Filed under: Lachnospiraceae bacterium
Lineage: Bacteria; Bacillati; Bacillota; Clostridia; Lachnospirales; Lachnospiraceae
Description: T-box sequence
Rfam family: T-box leader
About the family: Uncharged tRNA acts as the effector for transcription antitermination of genes in the T-box leader family.
Source: RNAcentral